This is a long non-coding RNA of Psammomys obesus (fat sand rat), 1710 nucleotides long. RefSeq lists it as uncharacterized. Lineage: Eukaryota; Metazoa; Chordata; Mammalia; Rodentia; Muridae. The transcript is spliced from 3 exons. The record is from RefSeq and is a predicted model, not a curated record.
CUGACCUGCGCGCCGGUCACCGAAGGGUUGGGCUCCCGGGCCGUGCCCAGGAGCUGUCCGUGGCCCUGGGCGUUCAGAGUGCCCAGCAAAAAGCUUGGCCCCUUAGAUGUACUCCGAGGGAAGAAAGCAUUAGAGUCUCUGGAAGAAUUCCUCGACUCUGGGCAGGAGAAGGUAGAGCACACAAGCUUUGGUCCACAUCCCAUCAUCACCUGGCUGUGGAGAAGGCUGUGCCAGGCUGCGGCGGGACUAAAGAAGAGCCAACGCAAGAGGGGUACCCACAGGGCAGGCAGCUGUCUACCAGAUGCAAGCUUCUCUGGUCCACAGGGCCUCCGGACUCUUGCAGCCCACUUCACACGUGUGUGUGUGUGUGUGUGUGUGUGUGUGUGUGUGUGUGUGUGUGUGUAGCUGCGUGGAUGCGGGAAUGCUUCACCUCUGGAGUCCCCACGCCUGAGAUGAGGUCCCAGACGAUUGUCCGUGGGGCUAAGAGACAUAGAGGUGGGGCUGUGGGAAUGUGGACGUGCAGGCGAGAAACUUGGCAAUACCCACCCACCUGCGCCCUCUUUCCUUCCUUUAAGGAGGGGGAGGGGGUCGGCAGUGGGGCUCACAUACCCGCGCGGAGCUUUUAUUGAAUACUAGGCUGUAACUGUACCAGGAGAGGGUGGGUGGGAGGUGGGACUGAAGGCGAUUCUGUCCCCCACCGUGGCUGUUCCAGAUGCCCCAAAUACUCCAGAGGAUUCCCACCUCCCUGGAACUAACCGGCACCCUGUUCCCUACAUCACCUGAGAAACCUUCCUCCCAACAAUAGAUGGUCAUAAUGUACUUGACUAAUGCCCGUAUUUUCCUGUUUAACAUACAUUAAUCCAAGUAACAAAAAAAAAAAAUCAAUAUCGCUAACAACAUUGCAAACAAAUCUUAGUCCAUCUCACACAAAAACCUCCUCAGAUUUUCAAUCACUCCCAUCGCCUUGAAUUUUGUUAAUCUCCGAGGCAGCUCAUAGUAGCUCCUGGCUACUGUGAAAGUAACCUCCAACUUUUUAAUAGCCGUCUCUAAAAUUCCAUCCUCCCCCAACCUUUCAUCGUGGGUAUAUAUGUGGAGAGCCACUUCAGGACCAUCUCAGGACCUCAAGUUCUCCAAAAUCUGUCCCAUUGGGCACCAGCAAAUACCUAAGGUCACCGGACAAUAUUCUGGAUUUUGUUUCUCUCCUGGACAAAACUCUGUAUGUGGUAGAUUCCAGCAUCUUCCCAGAGUAGGGGACCCCACACUUCCGAUCUUCUCAGGCUUUUGGUGUCUAUUCUAGCUAUCCUGAAUCUAAUGUCAGCUGGCGGUUCUUGCUGGGAGUUUAUUGUAAUAAUUAUUUUUAAAAAAUGGUGUUUUCCGCCCGAAAGAAACAAAAUAGAGGGGCCCGGCUAAUGAAGGAACUUAGGUUUGCAAAACACCAUAAAUAAUUCAUUAUUGUAUUUCAAGGGAAAAAAUAGCUUUCUUAAAUCAUCUCCGCAAUAUAAAUGGCAGACUUACAGUACAGUCCUGGUAAGCCUAAAUUUUUAAAGGAGUAAUAUUCAAAGAGACAUAGAUGUCUGUAUUAAUUAUUUAUUCGCCGGUGCCUUCCUUCGUUUCUGACUUAUUAUUAAUUAGGCGCCUCCAGUCUCUCGCAGAGCGCUCCACUGAGCCGGUUGCAGCUUUAAAUAUGAAUUAAAAGCAAAUCCAAGCUAC